RNAcentral lists this unclassified non-coding RNA (925 nucleotides) under Hevea brasiliensis (rubber tree). The record is from RNAcentral. Lineage: Eukaryota; Viridiplantae; Streptophyta; Magnoliopsida; Malpighiales; Euphorbiaceae.
CUUAGGUUGUCUAAAAUAAAAAAUAGGAUAAAGUCGGAAGUCGUUUGACAAUCACUUCAAUACCCAAGUUAGUUAUACUAUUUGAGAGAAAAUAAUAAUGAAACAAUCUUCUAUAAUAUUAAAUUUCACGUACAUGACUACGUGUUCAUCGCCUAUUUAUAUAGUAUUAAGAGAAAAUUUAGACUAAUUCUCAGGAUUUCUUUAACCAAUUUGAACUCGUUGCAUGCUUUAGGCACUAAGAUUAUACCAUGUCAACAUAAGAAUGAACUUAUUUUAUUGAUUCAAUCUAUCCAAUCUCUUCAAGAUCCAAGAUGCACACUUGAUCUGAUGGCAAGAUCCAUACUGUUCGGGUCAGAAUUCAGUAAAUUCAACCUAUCGAGAUCGGAUCUUAAGCUGAACUCUAUCAAGACUUGUUGAGUCAUUGCUAAUAUUUUCUAAUUCAAUCCCAUAGGUAUCUAGGUCUUCAAUUUUGACGAAAUUAAAUAGAGCUUUUAGAACUGCAACUUCUAACAACUAACAAGCCCUAUAUUUCUUCAAAAUAUAAGACUCAUAGACACCUAAAUUUUAUUACAAACAAGAAAGCAAGAUUAAGCAUCUAAUGAAACAGAUAGGUUAGGAAUCUAUAAGGCAUAAUAAAUCAAAAAACAAAACUCUGAGGGGGAAAUUGAACCUCAUGACUACAGUUCUCUAACAUGUGAUAAGGAUUCCUCCAAUCUCGGCUUACUUUGUUCAAUCCAUAUUCCUCUUGUCGGUCGGCUUUCAAUUGUUGCGGUCUGAACAUUCAAAUUUUCUUUCAUGGCAAUAGAAUUGACAUUUUUUUGACCAAAUUUCAUAAAGGCAGCAGGACGAUCUAGCUCUUGCGAAAAGUUGUUGAUAUCCGCACAAGCCCAACAACAGACUCACACUGGCCCAGUUGUUUGCAUUA